AUGACUACGUGAAGCAUUAUCACACACUUACUCCUAUUAUUUACCUCCUUCUAUUCAGGAAGGUCAUUCUCAAUUAUUUCUUUCAUACUUGUCUUCAGUGUCAGACCCAGGAAGCUGAAGUUGGGAACCACAAAAGCAUAAAUGCCAGCAAAGAAAUCACCAACCACCUGGGUUCUUGCUUGGGCUGUGGAUUCCCUGCUCAUUGAGGGGAUGGAUGACUUCUGAAGAUUGCAUUAGCAGCAUUGCAAAGACAACAGGACUUUCUGUGAAAUGCUCUGAUCUGUCCCUACUGGAAGAAUCUGGGUGACAGACGUUCUGCCUUUUCUCGAAUUGCAACUUUUCUUGACUUCUUCUCAAAAACUUCCUCCUGGUGGAGAGUGGACAGAGACUGUUUCGAUACUGUGGAC
Long non-coding RNA from Myotis myotis, 407 nucleotides. RefSeq lists it as uncharacterized. The transcript has 3 exons. The record is from RefSeq and is a predicted model, not a curated record. Lineage: Eukaryota; Metazoa; Chordata; Mammalia; Chiroptera; Vespertilionidae.